Erinaceus europaeus (western European hedgehog) is the source of this 108-nucleotide small nuclear RNA. Lineage: Eukaryota; Metazoa; Chordata; Mammalia; Eulipotyphla; Erinaceidae. The record is from Ensembl.
GUGCUCGCGCCAGCAGCACAUAAUACUAAAAUUAGAAUGAUACAGAGAAAAUUAGCAUGGCCCCUGCGCAAGGAUGACAUAUACAAAUUCGGGAAGCAUUCUAUAUUA